ACAACAAGGCAGUGUGAAGAUAUGGCAAUUCAAAGUUCGAAAAAAAUCUAUUUUUAGUAACAAAAUGGCUGAUUUUUCAGUAAAAAUAGAACUUUGAAUCGCCAUAUCUUCGCACUGCCUUGUUGU
This is a non-coding RNA of Paramuricea clavata, 126 nucleotides long. NCBI's taxonomy places the organism in Eukaryota, Metazoa, Cnidaria, Anthozoa, Malacalcyonacea, Plexauridae. The record is from the annotation of a GenBank genome assembly.